This 313-nucleotide long non-coding RNA is filed under the name Rattus norvegicus (Norway rat). Its description in RNAcentral is "long non-coding RNA NONRATT033321". The record is from RNAcentral. Lineage: Eukaryota; Metazoa; Chordata; Mammalia; Rodentia; Muridae.
GACAAACACCCUCCCCAUUGGCUGGUUAACACUGGAGAGUGCUCAACGUGGUGCUUGGUUCAGAGGCCCCUCCCAGGGUUUAAAUCUACCAGAGAAAAUAGGAGUUAUUUCAAAACGCUGCUGUGUCAUAUGAAUUUCCAAAAACAAAGGAAAGGCUUGGGAGAGGGGAAUAAGUAGGUGCUCUACUUCCUGCACUUACCACUGAAGUGUCUUCAAGAGGCUGAUUUCUCAAUCCCCGUGUGUCCUUCAGAAGAGAUGGAGACAGUGUAUCCUAACUCAUGUGGGACAGGGUGGGGUGGCGGAUGGGGACUUG